UUGCAGGAUAAGUUACAAUUUAGCUGCACAGUGCUAUGUUGUCGUUCCCCCUGCAAAAAUUAAAUUGUUUCCUACUAUCCCUGUCUGUUUUGCAAUUUCACAGCAAGCAGGGACGCUUGGUCUCAAACAU
This is a small nucleolar RNA of Bombina bombina (fire-bellied toad), 130 nucleotides long. RefSeq annotates it as small nucleolar RNA SNORA63. The record is from RefSeq and is a predicted model, not a curated record. NCBI's taxonomy places the organism in Eukaryota, Metazoa, Chordata, Amphibia, Anura, Bombinatoridae. The transcript has a single exon.